This 538-nucleotide ribosomal RNA is filed under the name uncultured bacterium. RNAcentral's name for it is "partial 16S ribosomal RNA". It matches the Rfam family "Bacterial small subunit ribosomal RNA", at positions 355 to 889 of the family's 1533-position model. The record is from RNAcentral.
UGGGGAAUUUUGGACAAUGGCGAAAGCCUGAUCCAGCAAUGCCGCGUGUGUGAAGAAGGCCUUCGGGUUGUAAAGCACUUUUGUCCGGAAAGAAAUCCUUGGCUCUAAUACAGCCGGGGAUGACGGUACCGGAAGAAUAAGCACCGGCUAACUACGUGCCAGCAGCCGCGGUAAUACGUAGGGUGCAAGCGUUAAUCGGAAUUACUGGGCGUAAAGCGUGCGCAGGCGGUUUGCUAAGACCGAUGUGAAAUCCCCGGGCUCAACCCGGGAACUGCAUUGGUGACUGGCAGGCUAGAGUAUGGCAGAGGGGGUAGAAUUCCACGUGUAGCAGUGAAAUGCGUAGAGAUGUGGAGGAACACCGAUGGCGAAGGCAGCCCCCUGGGCCAAUACUGACGCUCAUGCACGAAAGCGUGGGGAGCAAACAGGAUUAGAUACCCUGGUAGUCCACGCCCUAAACGAUGUCAACUGGUUGUCGGGGCCUUCAUUGGCUUGGUAACGUAGCUAACGCGUGAAGUUGACCGCCUGGGGAGUACGUCGC